GUUCAUGUAAUAUAGCAUGACAUUGAAUGCAAUGAAAUACAUAAAAUACAGCGAGAUAUAUUAAAAUACCGAGAACAACAAGUUACAUUGAGAUACAAUGAAAGCCACAUGUAUUAUAUCAGGUCAUUUCGAGUCCUUUUUCUUGUUGGCCAUUAUUAGACCGCCACGGCUCCACCGACACCAAACUGAUAAGAUAAUUUUUUUACAAUUUUACAAUUGAAGGAAUUGGCAUCUCUCGGACUAAAAUCCUAGAGAGGAAAAAGGAAAUUUGAUUGUAUUCAGAGAGUUGAAUUUCGAAUAGCGCCGGUGAAAAUUCCUCCGCCAUUCUCCGUUGCCGGCUUCGACGAGCUUAAAUUAUAAGUAGGCCAUGAGAUCUGAAGCUGGUAUUGGCGUUGGGAAAUUAUGGUCGGCGUUAAUAAAUUAUAAGUAGGCCAUCAUACAAAGGGCUAGCCAAAUAUCUUCUGCGAAGCUGGUAUUCGAAGUAGGCCAUGAGAUCUGAUUCGUUAAAACAACUGAAAUUUUCAUGAGAAAGAUUGGAGUCAAGAGAAAAAAACGGUGGAGAAAAAUCUGAAAAAAUGAGAGAGAAAAAUAAUAUAAAGUGUAUUUUAUGGCUUAAGGGCAUGAGGU
RNAcentral lists this long non-coding RNA (627 nucleotides) under Nicotiana benthamiana. RNAcentral's name for it is "long non-coding RNA (NBEN_LNC016953)". Lineage: Eukaryota; Viridiplantae; Streptophyta; Magnoliopsida; Solanales; Solanaceae. The record is from RNAcentral.